RNAcentral lists this ribosomal RNA (253 nucleotides) under uncultured bacterium. RNAcentral's name for it is "partial 16S ribosomal RNA". It matches the Rfam family "Bacterial small subunit ribosomal RNA", at positions 524 to 776 of the family's 1533-position model. The record is from RNAcentral.
UACGUAGGGUGCAAGCGUUGUCCGGAAUUAUUGGGCGUAAAGAGCUCGUAGGCGGUCUGUCGCGUCUGCUGUGAAAACCCGCGGCUCAACCGCGGGCCUGCAGUCGAUACGGGCAGGCUAGAGUUCGGUAGGGGAGACUGGAAUUCCUGGUGUAGCGGUGAAAUGCGCAGAUAUCAGGAGGAACACCGGUGGCGAAGGCGGGUCUCUGGGCCGUAACUGACGCUGAGGAGCGAAAGUGUGGGGAGCGAACAGG